UACGUAGGGGGCAAGCGUUAUCCGGAUUUAUUGGGCGUAAAGAGCUCGUAGGCGGCCGUUCGCGUCGGAUGUGAAAGCUCAGGCUCAACUCUGAGAUGCCAUUCGAUACGGGACGGCUAGAGGUAGGUAGGGGAGAGUGGAAUUCCUGGUGUAGCGGUGAAAUGCGCAGAUAUCAGGAGGAACACCGAUGGCGAAGGCAGGUCUCUGGGCAUUAACUGACGCUGAGGAGCGAAAGCAUGGGGAGCGAACAGG
This 252-nucleotide ribosomal RNA is filed under the name uncultured bacterium. RNAcentral describes it as "partial 16S ribosomal RNA". It matches the Rfam family "Bacterial small subunit ribosomal RNA", at positions 524 to 776 of the family's 1533-position model. The record is from RNAcentral.